GAUGAACGCUAGCUACAGGCUUAACACAUGCAUGUCGAGGGGUAACGAGAGGAAAGCUUACUUUCCUUGUCGACGACCGGCGCACGGGUGAGUAACGCGUAUCCAACCUGCCCCCAACUAAGGAAUAACCUUGCGAAAGUAAGACUAAUACCUUAUAAUUUCCUCAGAUGUCAUCUGACGAGGAAUAAAGAUUUAUCGGGUGUGGAUGGGGAUGCGUCUGAUUAGCUUGUUGGCGGGGUAACGGCCAACCGAGGCAACGAUCAGUAGGGGUUCUGAGAGGAAGGUCCACCACAUUGGAACUGAGACACGGUCCAAACUCCUACGGGAGGCAGCAGUGAGGAAUAUUGGUCAAUGGGCGGAAGCCUGAACCAGCCAAGUAGCGUGCAGGAUGACGGCCCUAUGGGUUGUAAACUGCUUUUAUACAGGAAUAAAGUUAGCCACGUGUGGUUAUUUGUAGGUACUGUAUGAAUAAGGACCGGCUAAUUCCGUGCCAGCCGCCGCAGUAA
RNAcentral lists this ribosomal RNA (506 nucleotides) under uncultured bacterium. RNAcentral describes it as "partial 16S ribosomal RNA". It matches the Rfam family "Bacterial small subunit ribosomal RNA", at positions 28 to 523 of the family's 1533-position model. The record is from RNAcentral.